Molecule: ribosomal RNA, 791 nt
Filed under: uncultured bacterium
Lineage: Bacteria
Description: bacterial SSU rRNA
Rfam family: Bacterial small subunit ribosomal RNA
Source: RNAcentral
AGAGUUUGAUCAUGGCUCAGAUUGAACGCUGGCGGCAUGCCUUACACAUGCAAGUCGAACGGCAGCACGGGGGCAACCCUGGUGGCGAGUGGCGAACGGGUGAGUAAUAUAUCGGAACGUGCCCUGGAGUGGGGGAUAACUAGUCGAAAGAUUAGCUAAUACCGCAUACGAUCCAAGGAUGAAAGCGGGGGAUCGCAAGACCUCGCGCUCGUGGAGCGGCCGAUAUCUGAUUAGCUAGUUGGUGGGGUAAAAGCCUACCAAGGCGACGAUCAGUAGCUGGUCUGAGAGGACGACCAGCCACACUGGGACUGAGACACGGCCCAGACUCCUACGGGAGGCAGCAGUGGGGAAUUUUGGACAAUGGGGGAAACCCUGAUCCAGCAAUGCCGCGUGUGUGAAGAAGGCCUUCGGGUUGUAAAGCACUUUUGUCAGGAACGAAACGGCGGGGGCUAAUAUCCUUUGCUAAUGACGGUACCUGAAGAAUAAGCACCGGCUAACUACGUGCCAGCAGCCGCGGUAAUACGUAGGGUGCGAGCGUUAAUCGGAAUUACUGGGCGUAAAGCGUGCGCAGGCGGUUGUGCAAGACAGAUGUGAAAUCCCCGGGCUUAACCUGGGAAUUGCAUUUGUGACUGCACGGCUAGAGUGUGUCAGAGGGGGGUAGAAUUCCACGUAGCAGUGAAAUGCGUAGAUAUGUGGAGGAAUACCGAUGGCGAAGGCAGCCCCCUGGGAUAACACUGACGCUCAUGCACGAAAGCGUGGGGAGCAAACAGGAUUAGAUACCCUAGUAGUCC